This 499-nucleotide ribosomal RNA is filed under the name uncultured bacterium. RNAcentral describes it as "bacterial SSU rRNA". It matches the Rfam family "Bacterial small subunit ribosomal RNA", at positions 28 to 486 of the family's 1533-position model. The record is from RNAcentral.
GACGAACGCUGGCGGCGUGCCUAAUACAUGCAAGUCGAACGCACUCUCGUUUAGAUUGAAGGAGCUUGCUCCUGAUUGAUAAACAUUUGAGUGAGUGGCGGACGGGUGAGUAACACGUGGGUAACCUGCCCUAAAGUGGGGGAUAACAUUUGGAAACAAAUGCUAAUACCGCAUAAAACCUAACACCGCAUGGUGUAGGGUUGAAAGAUGGUUUCGGCUAUCACUUUAGGAUGGACCCGCGGUGCAUUAGUUAGUUGGUGAGGUAAAGGCUCACCAAGACCGUGAUGCAUAGCCGACCUGAGAGGGUAAUCGGCCACACUGGGACUGAGACACGGCCCAGACUCCUACGGGAGGCAGCAGUAGGGAAUCUUCCACAAUGGACGAAAGUCUGAUGGAGCAACGCCGCGUGAGUGAAGAAGGUUUUCGGAUCGUAAAACUCUGUUGUUGGAGAAGAAUGUAUCUGAUAGUAACUGAUCAGGUAGUGACGGUAUCCAACCAG